This 109-nucleotide small nuclear RNA is filed under the name Saimiri boliviensis boliviensis (Bolivian squirrel monkey). The record is from RNAcentral. Lineage: Eukaryota; Metazoa; Chordata; Mammalia; Primates; Cebidae.
GCUUUUGUUUGGUACUGCUUUAAACAAAAUGAUGCAAUAUUAAAGUAGAGUUCUAGCAUGUCCCCUGAGCAAGGAUGACAUACAAAUCAGUAAAGUACUCCAUAUUUCA